CGAUGGAGCGCCAAGCCCGCCUCAGCGAGCCACAGCGCUCGGUUGGAGGCUCGGUUGAAGCGGAGGGUGCUGCGGACCCCCAGAGCCCCCGACUUUCACAGUGCACCCUUUCCGUAGGCUGUUCUCCCAGACGUAUCUGUUUUUCCUGGACUGAACAUCCCGAUUACUAACGUUACAUAUGGUUUGAAGCUAUUUAAAGAUUUGCUUUCCCGCUGCAGGUCCCCAGAUGCCCCUGCAGCCCCUGUCUCUCCUCAGUGAUGUGGCUGGAUCCCUGCUCCUGCCAGCGCGGUUGGCGUAUGGCCUUGCCACCUGGAAUUCUGGUCCUGCUGAUUCUCGUGCCCUGUUCUACUUUGGCUUGUUCAUACCUGUUUGUGACCAAGUCUAGUUGUUGCUCAAAACAGAAGUGCCAUACGGAAAGGACUGUGAGUUUAUUGCCACCAUCAGCUCCCAGCAAGCCCUAGAGGGACAUCCCGAAUGAACUGACCCUCCUGGGAGUCCUUUCAUCUGAGGAGGAAGGCCCACACAAUGGCUUUUGGGAAAGCUUUGUCACCGUGACUGCUUCCUGACAGAGUAUGUAGGGACCACAUUAUCCCUGGGAAGUGAGAUAACCAGUAGAUGCAAAACUUUGAGAUGCAGAAGUGCACAGCUGAGACCACUAGCCAUCAGUUGGAGUCACAGCAACACAGUUCAUGAAUGAGGUGCUGAUAGGCCACACAGGAGCACUGAAGUGUGCUCUGCCCUGUGGAGAACUGCAACCCUCCAUGUCUACCAGCACGGCUGGUCAGUGCAGGCAAAGCUGUGGUUAUAAAGCCAAACUCCAAGUGCCCUGUAUUCAGCUUGUGAAAUUUGUGGCCCAAACUCCUCCUGGCGUAGAGUACGGGUGGUGCCAAUUCUUUCUUCAAAUGGAUUGACGACCAGCUUUCCAAAAGGAAGAGCAGCACCUGACAGCGGCUUCUGAGGUCUGGACUGAGCAUGGCAGCUGGAAGGACCCUGGAAGCAGUGAAGGUGUCACCAACUUUGGUGAAUGUCAGUAUCCUCUUCGAAUGUCACCAGGACCAUUUGGGAAUUCUGGACAAUUAGCACACCAAGCAACAUUUACUAUGUACAGCUGCAAAAUGUAAGUCUCAGAAUUCCUGCGUUAUCACUGGAAAUGAAGCUAUUUAUAGAGAGAUGUCCUGGUGGAUACAAACAUUUCUGAGAAACAGCAGAAACAAGAUAAGGUAUUAACGCUCUUGCAACUAAUCACAUUGAUAGGUUCAUGGGGUAUGCUUUCAUGGUCUGUGCUCAUAGAAAGACAGGAUGAACUGGCAUGUCUGAGUGCCUUCCUGCCAGAGGGAUAUCAUACUAGUUAGUUUGAAAUCCUUACAUUAAAAAGUAUAGUUACUUCAACGAUCCCAUUUUAUUCCUAGCAUAGGUGAAAACAUUUAAAGCUACACUUAACUGCGGCAAAUAUCGUGUGUAAUGCAGGCCAUGAUCUCUGUGCAAACUAAUGCAGGUCAGUUUGAAAGCAAUGUUAUUAAAACAGUUCUGAAAAACAAAAAUCCAACCUAUGCAGAAGAUCACUUUGGAAAUAAUAUUCAUAAGGAGCACUGCAGUGAACUCAGAUACCUGGAUGAGACAUAGCAGUGUUUCAAAGUUAGCAAAUAAAAAAUAAUUAUUUGGGAGAAAAUAAUUUGUCACAUAGUUUAUUGCCAUUCUCCUGAAUUGAGACAGCAAAGGAUGAAUGUCAUCGAAGAGUCACAGUUGAACCCAGAGAGCUCCUUGAGCAGAUGAGGUCACUGGUUUGCUAUGUUUAUGCUGUAGCCCUGCCUCACAUUUCUCACAGGCAUCUGAAGCCCGUUUUAUCAGAAGGAGCUUUGGCAUCCAGCACAAUGACAUGUUUAUGUUAAAAAGAAAGGGUCCCACUCAUGAGGGGCAGGGUGAGGGAUGCCGGUAGGAGUGGCAGCAGUAGCUUCCUGUGCCCCAGGCUGGCGUGGGGAGAGGGGGAAAUGAGACACUGUGGCUCACACUGCAGAACAGAAACUGCAGCUCACAGGGAUUAACACACAUUGAUCAUUUUCCACAUGCCCCCAGCUAGGAAAAAGCUGAUAUGCGGAUUUUGAGUACAGCCCUUAUAACUAUUUCUUGGAGGAAAGCUUGUAGGUUUCUUCUAGUGCACCCAGGAUCAUAGCAGCCAGUGAAAGCUUCUGAACAACCAAGGUUUUCAGGAGUAAUAUCUUCACUGAGCCUGAUUCUGUGACAGACCUUUAUUCAGUGACCACUCAAGUUUCCCAGUUCCCACCUGAGCAGUGCUAGAGGAGAUGAUGGAGGUGUCCUUGGGAAGCUGUGCUCGGUGCUGCACAGGAGGUGACACCCAGCCCAGCAUACCUGAUGCUGAACAGCUGAAGAUGGUACCAAACAGGCCACAGUCCAGACACCUCUGAGAACUGCCACAGCCACGCCAUAGGCAAAUGCAGCCAGGAUGGAUAGUCUGGGGUGGAAGAAAGUACAACAAAUUAUUUUAUUGGCCUGGGCAGCAGGGUGGGGUUCAGCACACACGGCUGCUGCCGGCUCUCAGUCAGUGGGGUCCCUGAUGUCUGCGGUGCUGCAAAAGAAUGUAGUUCCCACCUGAGUCGUUGUCAUCAAGGAGGACUCUGACGAAGUUGGUGUGGUUAGAUGUGGGCAUGGUGGGCCCCCUCCCUGCUGUUUUGCAGUGUUGCCUUCUGUUUCAGAAUGUCAGACAUUCAGAAUGUAUAUGCUUCUUCAAAAUAGUAUUCUGGGAAUUAACCUCACAAUCUUUCCCACACAUAACCCAAGAAAAAGGAGUUGAUGUGACACACUGUGAACUGGAUGUUAACAGUGUGUGCUGUACUCCAUUCCUUGAGUCAGUAUUUAUUUGCUUUAUAAUUCUGAGAUGAAAUUCACUUACAUUUUCUUGUUUGGCAUACAGUUGGGUUUGACACAGUAAUUGAAAGCCAGCAUGCUCCAAAGCACCAUGCUAAUUAUUUAACUCUCUCAAGCAAGGGAAACAGAGUAAAAUAUUUGAGCAGCAGAAAGGGAAAUAAGCUGGUUGAAAAAUACGUUUUUGUGAGCCGAUACUCGAUUUGACAAUAUGAAGUUGGCAAGAAAGAAAGGAAUCCCGCUUCAGUUUUGAAAAAGGUAUACUUUUCACAGAGAACAUGUUUCUUCUGGGAAUCUUUAAUUUCAUGUACAUUGGUUUCCUAUUUUAAGAAAACAAUUUGCCAUUAAACACUAUGCCAGCCAGACUAACAUUUUUUUAAGCAAAAACUCUUUGUCCUAAAGUAUUUAACGGCCUAAAGUGCAGGAAAUUGGCUGUGACAUUUGGCUUUUUCCAUUCUAAGGGGAAAAUGGUCCAAGGUCUAAAAAUAUCCCUGAAAAACACCCUCCUUCUCAUCACUGUAAUAUACCAUAAGCCAUGUGACAAGAAAGACAUUUCUUUCUGAGCCUAGCAUUGCUUUUAAUCAGCUAAAUUGGCAAUUAAGACUGUCUUCAUGUUAAACUGCUGACUCAAAUAAAGAUUUUGAUUACUGACUUCA
Molecule: long non-coding RNA, 3536 nt
Organism: Pipra filicauda (Wire-tailed manakin)
Lineage: Eukaryota; Metazoa; Chordata; Aves; Passeriformes; Pipridae
Exons: 2
Source: RefSeq, a predicted model, not a curated record